This 253-nucleotide ribosomal RNA is filed under the name uncultured bacterium. RNAcentral's name for it is "partial 16S ribosomal RNA". It matches the Rfam family "Bacterial small subunit ribosomal RNA", at positions 524 to 776 of the family's 1533-position model. The record is from RNAcentral.
UACGAAGGGGGCUAGCGUUGCUCGGAAUCACUGGGCGUAAAGGGUGCGUAGGCGGGUCUUUAAGUCAGGGGUGAAAUCCUGGAGCUCAACUCCAGAACUGCCUUUGAUACUGAAGAUCUUGAGUUCGGGAGAGGUGAGUGGAACUGCGAGUGUAGAGGUGAAAUUCGUAGAUAUUCGCAAGAACACCGGUGGCGAAGGCGGCGCUCUGGACCGAGACUGACGCUGAGGCGCGAAAGCGUGGGGAGCAAACAGG